AUUGAACGCUGGCGGCAUGCCUUACACAUGCAAGUCGAACGGCAGCACGGGGGCAACCCUGGUGGCGAGUGGCGAACGGGUGAGUAAUACAUCGGAACGUGUCCUGUAGUGGGGGAUAGCCCGGCGAAAGCCGGAUUAAUACCGCAUACGCUCUACGGAGGAAAGGGGGGGAUCUUAGGACCUCCCGCUACAGGGGCGGCCGAUGGCAGAUUAGCUAGUUGGUGGGGUAAAGGCCUACCCUGGCGACGAUCUGUAGCUGGUCUGAGAGGACGACCAGCCACUCUGGGACUGAAAC
Molecule: ribosomal RNA, 295 nt
Filed under: uncultured bacterium
Lineage: Bacteria
Description: partial 16S ribosomal RNA
Rfam family: Bacterial small subunit ribosomal RNA
Source: RNAcentral